GUGCCAGCCGCCGCGGUAAUACCGGCAGCCCGAGUGAUGGCCGAUAUUAUUGGGCCUAAGGCGUCCGUAGCUGGCUGCGCAAGUCCGUCGGGAAAUCCACUCGCCCAACGAGUGGGCGUCCGACGGAAACUGCACAGCUUGGGACCGGAAGGCUCGAAGGGUACGUUCGGGGUAGGAGUGAAAUCCCAUAAUCCCGCACGGACCACCGAUGGCGAAAGCACGUCGGGAAGACGGAUCCGGCGGUGAGGGACGAAAGCCAGGGUCUCCAACCGGAUUAGAAACCCGAGUAGUCC
Molecule: ribosomal RNA, 293 nt
Filed under: uncultured bacterium
Lineage: Bacteria
Description: partial 16S ribosomal RNA
Rfam family: Archaeal small subunit ribosomal RNA
Source: RNAcentral